This 24-nucleotide non-coding RNA is filed under the name Arabidopsis thaliana (thale cress). Lineage: Eukaryota; Viridiplantae; Streptophyta; Magnoliopsida; Brassicales; Brassicaceae. The record is from RNAcentral.
GGCAAGCUAUCAUCUCUAAGGUCC